AUUGAACGCUGGCGGCAUGCCUUACACAUGCAAGUCGAACGGUAACAGGUUAAGCUGACGUGUGGCGAACGGGUGAGUAAUGUAUCGGAACGUGCCCAGUCGUGGGGGAUAACUGCUCGAAAGAGCAGCUAAUACCGCAUACGACCUGAGGGUGAAAGCGGGGGAUCGCAAGACCUCGCGCGAUUGGAGCGGCCGAUAUCAGAUUAGGUAGUUGGUGAGGUAAAGGCUCACCAAGCCGACGAUCUGUAGCUGGUCUGAGAGGACGACCAGCCACACUGGGACUGAGACACGGCCCAGACUCCUACGGGAGGCAGCAGUGGGGAAUUUUGGACAAUGGGCGCAAGCCUGAUCCAGCCAUGCCGCGUGCGGGAAGAAGGCCUUCGGGUUGUAAACCGCUUUUGUCAGGGAAGAAAAGGUUCUGGCUAAUACCUGGGACUCAUGACGGUACCUGAAGAAUAAGCACCGGCUAACUACGUG
RNAcentral lists this ribosomal RNA (477 nucleotides) under uncultured bacterium. Its description in RNAcentral is "partial 16S ribosomal RNA". It matches the Rfam family "Bacterial small subunit ribosomal RNA", at positions 30 to 507 of the family's 1533-position model. The record is from RNAcentral.